ACUCCUACGGGAGGCAGCAGUGGGGAAUAUUGGACAAUGGGCGCAAGCCUGAUCCAGCCAUGCCGCGUGAGUGAAGAAGGCCUUAGGGUUGUAAAGCUCUUUCAGCAGGGAAGAUAAUGACGGUACCUGCAGAAGAAGCCCCGCGUACUCCGUGCCAGCAGCCGCGGUAAUACGGAGGGGCGUAGCGUUGUUCGGAAUUACUGGGCGUAAAGCGCGCGUA
RNAcentral lists this ribosomal RNA (220 nucleotides) under uncultured bacterium. RNAcentral describes it as "partial 16S ribosomal RNA". It matches the Rfam family "Bacterial small subunit ribosomal RNA", at positions 335 to 573 of the family's 1533-position model. The record is from RNAcentral.